Molecule: small nuclear RNA, 141 nt
Filed under: Mastacembelus armatus (zig-zag eel)
Lineage: Eukaryota; Metazoa; Chordata; Actinopteri; Synbranchiformes; Mastacembelidae
Description: U4 spliceosomal RNA (ENSMAMG00000027807.1)
Rfam family: U4 spliceosomal RNA
About the family: U4 small nuclear RNA (U4 snRNA) is a component of the major U2-dependent spliceosome. The structure of U4 snRNA from yeast and human has been reported.
Source: Rfam by way of RNAcentral
AUUCUUUCGCAGUGGCAGUAUCGUAGCCAAUGAGGUUUGUCCGAGGCAUGAUUAUUGCUAGUUGAAAACUUUACCCAAUACCCCGCCUUGACGACUUGAAAUACAGUUGGUCAUGGCAAUUUUUGAUGGUCUUUAAGGAGA